UUAAGUGACUAAGCGUACACGGUGGAUGCCUUGGCAGUCAGAGGCGAUGAAAGACGUAGUAACUUGCGAUAAGCCCAGAUUAGGUAGUAACAACCAUUUGAGUCUGGGAUUUCUGAAUGGGGAAACCCACUUACAUAAGUAAGUAUCAUUAACUGAAUACAUAGGUUAAUGAGGCGAACCGGGGGAACUGAAACAUCUAAGUACCCCGAGGAAAAGAAAUCAACCGAGAUUCCGAAAGUAGCGGCGAGCGAAAUUGGACUAGCCCUUAAGCUUUACACGCGUUAGACGAACGGUCUGGAAAGUCCGACGAUACAGGGUGAUAGUCCCGUAGUUGACGACGUGUGUUCAGUGAAAUCGAGUAGGGCGGGACACGUGAUAUCCUGUCUGAAUAUGGGGGGACCAUCCUCCAAGGCUAAAUACUACUGACUGACCGAUAGUGAACCAGUACCGUGAGGGAAAGGCGAAAAGAACCCCUGUGAGGGGAGUGAAAUAGAACCUGAAACCGUGUACGUACAAGCAGUAGGAGCAGGCUUGUCCUGUGACUGCGUACCUUUUGUAUAAUGGGUCAGCGACUUAUAUUCAGUGGCAAGGUUAACCAUCUAGGGGAGCCGUAGGGAAACCGAGUCUUAACUGGGCGUUCAGUCUCUGGAUAUAGACCCGAAACCAGGUGAUCUAGCCAUGGGCAGGUUGAAGGUUGAGUAACAUCAACUGGAGGACCGAACCGACUAAUGUUGAAAAAUUAGCGGAUGACUUGUGGCUAGGGGUGAAAGGCCAAUCAAACCUGGAGAUAGCUGGUUCUCCCCGAAAGCUAUUUAGGUAGCGCCUCGGACGAAUACUACUGGGGGUAGAGCACUGUUAAGGCUAGGGGGUCAUCCCGACUUACCAACCCUUUGCAAACUCCGAAUACCAGUAAGUACUAUCCGGGAGACACACGGCGGGUGCUAACGUCCGUCGUGGAGAGGGAAACAACCCAGACCGCCAGCUAAGGUCCCAAAUUACUACUAAGUGGGAAACGAUGUGGGAAGGCUCAGACAGCCAGGAUGUUGGCUUAGAAGCAGCCAUCAUUUAAAGAAAGCGUAAUAGCUCACUGGUCGAGUCGGCCUGCGCGGAAGAUGUAACGGGGCUAAGUAGUAAACCGAAGCUGCGGCAAUGUGCUUUUGCACAUUGGGUAGGGGAGCGUUCUGUAAGCGGUUGAAGGUGUGUGGUAACGCAUGCUGGACGUAUCAGAAGUGCGAAUGCUGACAUGAGUAACGAUAAAGGGGGUGAAAAACCUCCUCGCCGGAAGACCAAGGGUUCCUGUCCAACGUUAAUCGGGGCAGGGUAAGUCGACCCCUAAGGCGAGGCCGAAAGGCGUAGUCGAUGGGAAACGGGUUAAUAUUCCCGUACUUCUUACAAUUGCGAUGGGGGGACGGAGAAGGCUAGGUGGGCCUGGCGACGGUUGUCCAGGUUCAAGUGCGUAGGCUUGAGAGUUAGGUAAAUCCGGCUCUUUUUAAGGCUGAGACACGACGUCGAGCACCUACGGGUGUGAAGUCAUUGAUGCCAUGCUUCCAGGAAAAGCCUCUAAGCUUCAGAUUGUAAGGAAUCGUACCCCAAACCGACACAGGUGGUCGGGUAGAGAAUACCAAGGCGCUUGAGAGAACUCGGGUGAAGGAACUAGGCAAAAUGGUACCGUAACUUCGGGAGAAGGUACGCUCUUGAUGGUGAAGUCCCUUGCGGAUGGAGCUGACGAGAGUCGCAGAUACCAGGUGGCUGCAACUGUUUAUUAAAAACACAGCACUGUGCAAAAUCGUAAGAUGACGUAUACGGUGUGACGCCUGCCCGGUGCCGGAAGGUUAAUUGAUGGGGUUAGACUUCGGUCGAAGCUCUUGAUCGAAGCCCCGGUAAACGGCGGCCGUAACUAUAACGGUCCUAAGGUAGCGAAAUUCCUUGUCGGGUAAGUUCCGACCUGCACGAAUGGCGUAAUGAUGGCCACGCUGUCUCCACCCGAGACUCAGUGAAAUUGAAAUCGCUGUGAAGAUGCAGUGUACCCGCGGCUAGACGGAAAGACCCCGUGAACCUUUACUACAGCUUGGCACUGAACAUUGACCCUACAUGUGUAGGAUAGGUGGGAGGCUUUGAAGCAAGUACGCCAGUAUUUGUGGAGCCGUCCUUGAAAUACCACCCUUGUAGUGUUGAUGUUCUAACGUCGACCCCUUAUCGGGGUUGCGGACAGUGCCUGGUGGGUAGUUUGACUGGGGCGGUCUCCUCCCAAAGAGUAACGGAGGAGCACGAAGGUGGGCUAAUCACGGUUGGACAUCGUGAGGUUAGUGCAAUGGCAUAAGCCCGCUUGACUGCGAGAAUGACAAUUCGAGCAGGUGCGAAAGCAGGUCAUAGUGAUCCGGUGGUUCUGAAUGGAAGGGCCAUCGCUCAACGGAUAAAAGGUACUCCGGGGAUAACAGGCUGAUACCGCCCAAGAGUUCAUAUCGACGGCGGUGUUUGGCACCUCGAUGUCGGCUCAUCACAUCCUGGGGCUGAAGUCGGUCCCAAGGGUAUGGCUGUUCGCCAUUUAAAGUGGUACGCGAGCUGGGUUUAGAACGUCGUGAGACAGUUCGGUCCCUAUCUGCCGUGGGCGUUGGAAGAUUGAAGGGGGCUGCUCCUAGUACGAGAGGACCGGAGUGGACGAACCUCUGGUGUUCGGGUUGUGUCGCCAGACGCAUUGCCCGGUAGCUAAGUUCGGAAUCGAUAACCGCUGAAAGCAUCUAAGCGGGAAGCGAGCCCUGAGAUGAGUCUUCCCUGAUACUUUAAGUAUCCUAAAGGGUUGUCGGAGACUACGACGUUGAUAGGUCAGGUGUGUAAGUGCUGUGAGGCAUUGAGCUAACUGAUACUAAUUGCCCGUGAGGCUUAACCAU
Molecule: ribosomal RNA, 2888 nt
Filed under: Vibrio parahaemolyticus
Lineage: Bacteria; Pseudomonadati; Pseudomonadota; Gammaproteobacteria; Vibrionales; Vibrionaceae
Description: bacterial LSU rRNA
Rfam family: Bacterial large subunit ribosomal RNA
Source: RNAcentral